Pelobates cultripes (western spadefoot toad) is the source of this 249-nucleotide non-coding RNA. Lineage: Eukaryota; Metazoa; Chordata; Amphibia; Anura; Pelobatidae. The record is from the annotation of a GenBank genome assembly.
GCUGCAUUUUUAAAUUUCUUCGGUAUAUCCAAGUCAUAUGUGAAUAUAAAAAAACCUGUUUUGUUUUUUCGGUCUUUGCGUCAUUUAGUUUUGGCCUGUAUUUUUCUCCUGUUAUGUUACGUUUUCGUCACGUUUGCAUUGGUGCCUCAAGGAGUUUAUCCUUGAGGCACCUAUAAGGAUAACAGACUAAGGAUUACUGAUUCAGGUAUUUUCUUCUAAAUAAAAUAUUUGCUCUUCAGUCAAUGCUAC